Molecule: ribosomal RNA, 229 nt
Filed under: uncultured bacterium
Lineage: Bacteria
Description: partial 16S ribosomal RNA
Rfam family: Bacterial small subunit ribosomal RNA
Source: RNAcentral
UACGGAGGGGGCUAGCGUUGUUCGGAAUUACUGGGCGUAAAGCGCGCGUAGGCGGACCUGCAAGUCGGGGGGUGAAAGCCCGAGGCUCAACCUCGGAACUGCCUUCGAUACUGCGGGUCUCGAGUCCGGGAGAGGUUGGUGGAACUGCGAGUGUAGAGGUGAAAUUCGUAGAUAUUCGCAAGAACACCAGUGGCGAAGGCGGCCAACUGGUCCGGUACUGACGCUGAGG